RNAcentral lists this ribosomal RNA (207 nucleotides) under uncultured bacterium. RNAcentral describes it as "partial 16S ribosomal RNA". It matches the Rfam family "Bacterial small subunit ribosomal RNA", at positions 568 to 774 of the family's 1533-position model. The record is from RNAcentral.
CGUCUAGGCGGAUCGGUAAGUCGGCUGUGAAAUCCCUCGGCUCAACCGAGGAAGUGCAGCCGAUACUGCCAGUCUUGAGGGCGAGAGGGGAGAGUGGAACUCCUGGUGGAGCGGUGAAAUGCGUAGAUAUCAGGAGGAACGCCGGUGGCGAAAGCGACUCUCUGGCUCGUCCCUGACGCUGAAGCGCGAAAGCUAGGGGAGCGAACG